Molecule: ribosomal RNA, 2921 nt
Filed under: Staphylococcus aureus
Lineage: Bacteria; Bacillati; Bacillota; Bacilli; Caryophanales; Staphylococcaceae
Description: bacterial LSU rRNA
Rfam family: Bacterial large subunit ribosomal RNA
Source: RNAcentral
UUAAGUUAUUAAGGGCGCACGGUGGAUGCCUUGGCACUAGAAGCCGAUGAAGGACGUUACUAACGACGAUAUGCUUUGGGGAGCUGUAAGUAAGCUUUGAUCCAGAGAUUUCCGAAUGGGGAAACCCAGCAUGAGUUAUGUCAUGUUAUCGAUAUGUGAAUACAUAGCAUAUCAGAAGGCACACCCGGAGAACUGAAACAUCUUAGUACCCGGAGGAAGAGAAAGAAAAUUCGAUUCCCUUAGUAGCGGCGAGCGAAACGGGAAGAGCCCAAACCAACAAGCUUGCUUGUUGGGGUUGUAGGACACUCUAUACGGAGUUACAAAGGACGACAUUAGACGAAUCAUCUGGAAAGAUGAAUCAAAGAAGGUAAUAAUCCUGUAGUCGAAAAUGUUGUCUCUCUUGAGUGGAUCCUGAGUACGACGGAGCACGUGAAAUUCCGUCGGAAUCUGGGAGGACCAUCUCCUAAGGCUAAAUACUCUCUAGUGACCGAUAGUGAACCAGUACCGUGAGGGAAAGGUGAAAAGCACCCCGGAAGGGGAGUGAAAUAGAACCUGAAACCGUGUGCUUACAAGUAGUCAGAGCCCGUUAAUGGGUGAUGGCGUGCCUUUUGUAGAAUGAACCGGCGAGUUACGAUUUGAUGCAAGGUUAAGCAGUAAAUGUGGAGCCGUAGCGAAAGCGAGUCUGAAUAGGGCGUUUAGUAUUUGGUCGUAGACCCGAAACCAGGUGAUCUACCCUUGGUCAGGUUGAAGUUCAGGUAACACUGAAUGGAGGACCGAACCGACUUACGUUGAAAAGUGAGCGGAUGAACUGAGGGUAGCGGAGAAAUUCCAAUCGAACCUGGAGAUAGCUGGUUCUCUCCGAAAUAGCUUUAGGGCUAGCCUCAAGUGAUGAUUAUUGGAGGUAGAGCACUGUUUGGACGAGGGGCCCCUCUCGGGUUACCGAAUUCAGACAAACUCCGAAUGCCAAUUAAUUUAACUUGGGAGUCAGAACAUGGGUGAUAAGGUCCGUGUUCGAAAGGGAAACAGCCCAGACCACCAGCUAAGGUCCCAAAAUAUAUGUUAAGUGGAAAAGGAUGUGGCGUUGCCCAGACAACUAGGAUGUUGGCUUAGAAGCAGCCAUCAUUUAAAGAGUGCGUAAUAGCUCACUAGUCGAGUGACACUGCGCCGAAAAUGUACCGGGGCUAAACAUAUUACCGAAGCUGUGGAUUGUCCUUUGGACAAUGGUAGGAGAGCGUUCUAAGGGCGUUGAAGCAUGAUCGUAAGGACAUGUGGAGCGCUUAGAAGUGAGAAUGCCGGUGUGAGUAGCGAAAGACGGGUGAGAAUCCCGUCCACCGAUUGACUAAGGUUUCCAGAGGAAGGCUCGUCCGCUCUGGGUUAGUCGGGUCCUAAGCUGAGGCCGACAGGCGUAGGCGAUGGAUAACAGGUUGAUAUUCCUGUACCACCUAUAAUUGUUUUAAUCGAUGGGGGGACGCAGUAGGAUAGGCGAAGCGUGCGAUUGGAUUGCACGUCUAAGCAGUAAGGCUGAGUAUUAGGCAAAUCCGGUACUCGUUAAGGCUGAGCUGUGAUGGGGAGAAGACAUUGUGUCUUCGAGUCGUUGAUUUCACACUGCCGAGAAAAGCCUCUAGAUAGAAAAUAGGUGCCCGUACCGCAAACCGACACAGGUAGUCAAGAUGAGAAUUCUAAGGUGAGCGAGCGAACUCUCGUUAAGGAACUCGGCAAAAUGACCCCGUAACUUCGGGAGAAGGGGUGCUCUUUAGGGUUAACGCCCAGAAGAGCCGCAGUGAAUAGGCCCAAGCGACUGUUUAUCAAAAACACAGGUCUCUGCUAAACCGUAAGGUGAUGUAUAGGGGCUGACGCCUGCCCGGUGCUGGAAGGUUAAGAGGAGUGGUUAGCUUCUGCGAAGCUACGAAUCGAAGCCCCAGUAAACGGCGGCCGUAACUAUAACGGUCCUAAGGUAGCGAAAUUCCUUGUCGGGUAAGUUCCGACCCGCACGAAAGGCGUAACGAUUUGGGCACUGUCUCAACGAGAGACUCGGUGAAAUCAUAGUACCUGUGAAGAUGCAGGUUACCCGCGACAGGACGGAAAGACCCCGUGGAGCUUUACUGUAGCCUGAUAUUGAAAUUCGGCACAGCUUGUACAGGAUAGGUAGGAGCCUUUGAAACGUGAGCGCUAGCUUACGUGGAGGCGCUGGUGGGAUACUACCCUAGCUGUGUUGGCUUUCUAACCCGCACCACUUAUCGUGGUGGGAGACAGUGUCAGGCGGGCAGUUUGACUGGGGCGGUCGCCUCCUAAAAGGUAACGGAGGCGCUCAAAGGUUCCCUCAGAAUGGUUGGAAAUCAUUCAUAGAGUGUAAAGGCAUAAGGGAGCUUGACUGCGAGACCUACAAGUCGAGCAGGGUCGAAAGACGGACUUAGUGAUCCGGUGGUUCCGCAUGGAAGGGCCAUCGCUCAACGGAUAAAAGCUACCCCGGGGAUAACAGGCUUAUCUCCCCCAAGAGUUCACAUCGACGGGGAGGUUUGGCACCUCGAUGUCGGCUCAUCGCAUCCUGGGGCUGUAGUCGGUCCCAAGGGUUGGGCUGUUCGCCCAUUAAAGCGGUACGCGAGCUGGGUUCAGAACGUCGUGAGACAGUUCGGUCCCUAUCCGUCGUGGGCGUAGGAAAUUUGAGAGGAGCUGUCCUUAGUACGAGAGGACCGGGAUGGACAUACCUCUGGUGUACCAGUUGUCGUGCCAACGGCAUAGCUGGGUAGCUAUGUGUGGACGGGAUAAGUGCUGAAAGCAUCUAAGCAUGAAGCCCCCCUCAAGAUGAGAUUUCCCAACUUCGGUUAUAAGAUCCCUCAAAGAUGAUGAGGUUAAUAGGUUCGAGGUGGAAGCAUGGUGACAUGUGGAGCUGACGAAUACUAAUCGAUCGAAGACUUAAUCAA